RNAcentral lists this ribosomal RNA (481 nucleotides) under uncultured bacterium. RNAcentral describes it as "partial 16S ribosomal RNA". It matches the Rfam family "Bacterial small subunit ribosomal RNA", at positions 28 to 507 of the family's 1533-position model. The record is from RNAcentral.
GAUGAACGCUGGCGACGUGCUUAACACAUGCAAGUCGAACGAAGCACUUUAUUUGAUUUCCUUCGGGACUGAUUAUUUUGUGACUGAGUGGCGGACGGGUGAGUAACGCGUGGGUAACCUGCCUUGUACAGGGGGAUAACAGUUGGACACGGCUGCUAAUACCGCAUAAGCGCCCGGCAUCGCAUGAUGCAGUGUGAAAAACUCCGGUGGUAUAAGAUGGACCCGCGUUGGAUUAGCUAGUUGGUGAGGUAACGGCCCACCAAGGCGACGAUCCAUAGCCGAGCUGAGAAGGUGACCGGGCACAUUGGGACUGAGGCACCGCCCAAGAUCCUACGGGAAGCAGCAGUGGGGAAUAUUGCACAAUGGGCGAAAGCCUGAUGCAGCGACGCCGCGUGAGCGAAGAAGGAUUUCGGUAUGGAAAACUCUAUCAGCAGGGAAGAUAAUGGCGGGACCUGACUAAGAAGCACCGGCUAAAUACGUG